UAGGGAGGAGACGCAGAAG
Molecule: unclassified non-coding RNA, 19 nt
Filed under: Mus musculus (house mouse)
Lineage: Eukaryota; Metazoa; Chordata; Mammalia; Rodentia; Muridae
Description: oocyte_clustered_small_RNA793
Source: RNAcentral